GACGAACGCUGGCGGCGUGCUUAACACAUGCAAGUCGAACGAAGUGGCGAACGGGUGAGUAACGCGUAAUCAACCUGCCCUUCAGAGGGGGACAACAGUUGGAAACGACUGCUAAUACCGCAUACUGAAGGAGGGGAUUGCGUCUGAUUAGCUAGUUGGAGGGGUAACGGCCCACCAAGGCGAUGAUCAGCAGCCGUGCCGAGAGGAUGAGCCGCCACAGUGGGAAGUAGACCCGGCACAGACUCCUACGGGAGGCAGCAGUGCGGAAUCUUCCGCAAUGGAAGAAAGUCUGACUGAGGAACGCCGCGUGAGUGAUGACGGCCUUCGGGUUGUGAAGCUCUGUUAAUCGGGUCGCGGUACCGGAAUAGAAAGCCACGGCUAACUACGUGCCAGCAGCCGCGGUAAUUC
This 408-nucleotide ribosomal RNA is filed under the name uncultured bacterium. RNAcentral's name for it is "partial 16S ribosomal RNA". It matches the Rfam family "Bacterial small subunit ribosomal RNA", at positions 28 to 526 of the family's 1533-position model. The record is from RNAcentral.